RNAcentral lists this long non-coding RNA (1778 nucleotides) under Daucus carota (carrot). Its description in RNAcentral is "long non-coding RNA (DCAR_LNC007583)". The record is from RNAcentral. Lineage: Eukaryota; Viridiplantae; Streptophyta; Magnoliopsida; Apiales; Apiaceae.
UGUAACAUCAACAGGGAAUAGAUGAUAGAGAUGACUGGAGGUUAAUUGAAGCUCUUUCAAUGAAGGAUGCCUGCAGAUACACAGAGCCAGAAGCUCUGCUGAUUAACCUAAGUUCCACUCCAAAAACUUCGAACAUUGUAACUGUUCAUCCUCAAAUUGCGGAGCCAUCUGCGGAGCAACUAUGCGUGCAAGUAUUUAAUUUAUUAAAUUGACCUUGCCCUUAAAUAAAAUUGAUUUUUUUUAUUUAAUAUUGUGGAUAGCAUCCGACUCUUGGUUAGAUUAUUUAUCAGCAUUUCAAUAAAAUAGAUUUGUCUAUAUACAAGAUUGUCCUGAUUGAGAAGCAAAUUAUUUAAAAAAUGCAGAACUUACACAUAGUAUAAUUAAAUCUGUGGUUUAUUAUAUGAUUAAUUACUCAAUUAAGUUGCCAACUAAAAGGUAAGAUUGUUAUAUUUAUUAUACAUUUAUAUUAGUCCGGGGUGGAUAAUUAUCAAGUUAAUCUCACAUACCAUCUAACUUCUAAAUAUUAAUUAUACAUCCUACACACAAAAAUAAAAUAAAAAUAUUUUAAAAUAUGAAUAAUACCUUCAAUUUUUGAGUAGCUGGAUCGUCAAAGUGGUACACAUGAUUCAUGAACUCCAUAUUAGAAAUAUGCCCUUGUUUUUCUUCCUCGAGUUCCUAUAUGGUAAAGUUGGACAUGUUACAUGAUACUAAAUACAAACAGUUUUUUGAGUUAAAGCUGCAAGUAAACUCAUAGUAAAUGAAAUGAAUAAGAGGCACACACAAUAGAUAAUAUACCUCCCUUCUCUGGCUGAAAGCUGAAAGGCUUGGCCCCACUGUGGUGAAUAUGUUCCACCUGCGCUCGAGCUUUCUUGGCAUUAUCAGACCUUUUUUUAAAUAAGUCAGACCCCAUAUACGAGUUGAGGUUGUCCCAAAUACGUUGGCUGAAGUAAUGAGGCCUGAAAGAACGUCGAGUAGCAGUUUUUAAACCUCCCCUCCUUGCAUAUACAGCUGAUUGCUCUGCCCUUUUCUUUUCCUGAUAAGGGAGGUUCUUCUAAUUCUUUUUCACAAACUCUUUGACAGCCCUAUCCGCCUCUGUUGGAUCACUAUCCUCCGGAUAUGCAUAGUAUUUUUGUCAAACAAGAAUAAAAGAUUACAUAUACAUCUCAGCGAAUUAAUCUGAAAAAAAAAUGAAAGAGAAAGUAGAUAAAACCUUGAACUCCUUAAGACAGCGGUCAUAAAAGGCUUCACGUUCCAGUCCCUUUGAUUGAUGCGUAUUUUCAUCCCAAUUCACUUUGAUAAUGUAGCUGAGAGUCUUUUUCUUCUUAGCCUCCCUGAUGCUAUAUAAUUAAAAUACAAUUAGAAUGCGUGUAGUGUUGACAUGUGUUAGAUUAAACGAGAAAAUGAGUAAGAACUGAGAAUAAAACAUACCUUCUUCCUCCGAGGAAAUGAACAAUUCCCCUAUCUUCAGACCUAGCUGGUUACUCCAUUGUUUCCCCAGCUCCACGACCCCGUCCUUCACCAAUACCAUUUCCCCGUCCACCACAUCCACGACCCCUUCCUUCCGCACUAUCAUUUCCCCGUCCACCUCUUCCCCUACCCGCUUUACUUCCCCUCCCCCCUCCAUCACCACCAUUGGAACCAGCUCCCUGAAUAUAAUAAGAGAUACACAUUAUAUCAGAACCAACAAUUUGUGUAACAAAUCAGCAAGAAUAAAUUCAAAUCUACAUUUAACAUUCUCUUUUACUACUAAUUUGUGUAACAAAUCAGCAUCUUAAUAG